AAAAUGUUGGUUAAUUUCCCUCUUUUACUA
Molecule: transfer RNA, 30 nt
Filed under: Eurycea quadridigitata
Lineage: Eukaryota; Metazoa; Chordata; Amphibia; Caudata; Plethodontidae
Description: partial tRNA-Met
Source: RNAcentral